Molecule: non-coding RNA, 111 nt
Organism: Actinomyces sp. oral taxon 414
Lineage: Bacteria; Bacillati; Actinomycetota; Actinomycetes; Actinomycetales; Actinomycetaceae
Source: Rfam
GUUACCGCCGGACGGGAGGGGUCGUGAGGGUUGGGGAACCCGAUGACCGAGUCCUUGCCGAGACGGCCGAGGGUCUUAGGGAGCCCGAGGUCGGUCGCUCUGGCGAAGGAG